Molecule: ribosomal RNA, 253 nt
Filed under: uncultured bacterium
Lineage: Bacteria
Description: partial 16S ribosomal RNA
Rfam family: Bacterial small subunit ribosomal RNA
Source: RNAcentral
UACGUAGGUGGCAAGCGUUGUCCGGAAUUAUUGGGCGUAAAGCGCGCGCAGGCGGUUUCUUAAGUCUGAUGUGAAAGCCCACGGCUCAACCGUGGAGGGUCAUUGGAAACUGGGGAACUUGAGUGCAGAAGAGGAAAGUGGAAUUCCACGUGUAGCGGUGAAAUGCGUAGAGAUGUGGAGGAACACCAGUGGCGAAGGCGACUGUCUGGUCUGUAACUGACACUGAGGCGCGAAAGCGUGGGGAGCAAACAGG